UUAGUGGACGGACGGUAGUAACGCGUGGAAAACCUGCCGUAUACUGGGGGAUAACACUUAGAAAUAGGUGCUAAUACCGCAUAAGCGCACAGCUUCGCAUGAAGCGGUGUGAAAAACUCUGGUGGUAUACGAUGGUUCCGCGUCUGAUUAGCUAGUUGGUGGGGUAAUGGCCUACCAAGGCAACGAUCAGUAGCCGGCCUGAGAGGGUGAACGGCCACAUUGGGACUGAGACACGGCCCAAACUCCUACGGGAGGCAGCAG
This 261-nucleotide ribosomal RNA is filed under the name uncultured bacterium. Its description in RNAcentral is "partial 16S ribosomal RNA". It matches the Rfam family "Bacterial small subunit ribosomal RNA", at positions 91 to 354 of the family's 1533-position model. The record is from RNAcentral.